CCUACGGGGGGCUGCAGUGGGGAAUAUUGGACAAUGGGCGAAAGCCUGAUCCAGCCAUGCCGCGUGUGUGAAGAAGGCCUUCGGGUUGUAAAGCACUUUCAGUGGGGAAGAAAGCCUUGGGGCUAAUACCCUCGAGGAAGGACAUCACCCACAGAAGAAGCACCGGCUAACUCCGUGCCAGCAGCCGCGGUAAUACGGAGGGUGCGAGCGUUAAUCGGAAUUACUGGGCGUAAAGCGCGCGUAGGCGGGCUGAUAAGCCAGUUGUGAAAGCCCCGGGCUCAACCUGGGAACGGCAUCCGGAACUGUCAGGCUAGAGUGCAGGAGAGGAAGGUAGAAUUCCCGGUGUAGCGGUGAAAUGCGUAGAGAUCGGGAGGAAUACCAGUGGCGAAGGCGGCCUUCUGGACUGACACUGACGCUGAGGUGCGAAAGCGUGGGUAGCAAACAGGAUUAGAUACCCGAGUAGUC
RNAcentral lists this ribosomal RNA (465 nucleotides) under Vreelandella stevensii. Its description in RNAcentral is "partial 16S ribosomal RNA". It matches the Rfam family "Bacterial small subunit ribosomal RNA", at positions 338 to 795 of the family's 1533-position model. Lineage: Bacteria; Pseudomonadati; Pseudomonadota; Gammaproteobacteria; Oceanospirillales; Halomonadaceae. The record is from RNAcentral.